Molecule: long non-coding RNA, 582 nt
Organism: Anopheles arabiensis
Lineage: Eukaryota; Metazoa; Arthropoda; Insecta; Diptera; Culicidae
Exons: 2
Source: RefSeq, a predicted model, not a curated record
CACUCAUUGCCGCCGUUGAGUGGGACAAAGAGAGUGAACGCACACACGACAGUCGCGCAGCAAGCGUUCACAUGAGCAGGCAGAGGCAGCCAUUGCCACUGAACGGUUUUCAUAUGCAGGUUAACCUAACACGCGCACACUGGAAAUCUAGAUAUUUGAGAAGAGAAUUAAAUAAUGAUAACCGUUCACAAUGAACACGGAGAAGCUACCUAAUGAUACAGGGAGAAAUGACCUCUAAAACUCGAAUUUUUAAAUCUCGUUUCCGGCUGGACUGGGCAGAUGAAAACACAUCUUUGAAUGAACCAAAUGAGCGCAAUUAGCAGUUGAGGUUGAGACACAAUUGUGUGUCAUAGUGAAGUUAAUUAAUCAGAAAAUUGUAACAAAGCGAAAAAAGGGAUGUGUUAGAUACAGAAGCGCCUAAAAUGCAGCUCUGUUUCGUUAGGUUUUCCUAAACACGAAUGAAGUCUACUUCCUCCCGUGUACUAUAAGGCGUACAUGACAGUUUUUUUAACAACUGAGUAGAAAUGUUCUUAAGAAAUGUGAAGCAUAACUAGUAGUGUUAAGGAUACACUUACCUCAUCA